Octopus bimaculoides (California two-spot octopus) is the source of this 695-nucleotide long non-coding RNA. RefSeq lists it as uncharacterized. Lineage: Eukaryota; Metazoa; Mollusca; Cephalopoda; Octopoda; Octopodidae. The record is from RefSeq and is a predicted model, not a curated record.
AAGAAAAGAUAUCAAUUCAACACAAAGUGCCUCAGUUGGUCGCACACCACAAGGUUCAACGGAACCUACUGAACAUAUUCGUGGCAUUAACACGGGCGAUGGCGAAGCUGGUGAGGUUGGAACAGACAAGCACCCUCACGGGUAUCACCUCACAUUUCGGUAAGGCGAGCCGUAAACGAUGACUGCUGUUUGUGACCCAGCUCCUCCAAACGUCUCAAACCCCACAGGCUUGAAGAAGUAAUGUUACAAAAACUUUCCUUGUUCCCUGAAGUUAAGAGCAGAGGAGGGCAGUGUCCAUUUCUUUUGCAGGCCCUUCCAGACUGGUAAAAUUAAGGUUGAUUCCUAUCUGUAACUGUUAAGAGCAGAGGGAGUUGUGCCUUUGACUGCUAACCAAAAUGGACAUCUACAAGGUAAUGGCUACAGAGAAAAAAAAAAACUAAAAAAAAAAAAACUAGAAUCGAGCAAGGAGGGGUCUUGAAGCCUGUUCCAAAUACUUCCAAAUGUUACUGAAGAUACCUAAGUACCAUGAAAAUGAUACUGCAAGUGAGAAAUGUCAAUCUCCACAAUCAUCAUUAUUGAAAAUGUGACUUCUAACUUUCUCUUUUCAUACUAAAAAUGAGAAUGACAUAAUUCCCCUGAAAUGUAUAUAAUUAGAACAAUGUGUAUAAUUACAUCAAUAGAUUUUUAUAAUUACA